RNAcentral lists this long non-coding RNA (12315 nucleotides) under Marmota monax (woodchuck). The record is from RNAcentral. Lineage: Eukaryota; Metazoa; Chordata; Mammalia; Rodentia; Sciuridae.
GCGGGCUCUGGGAUGUGCAGCUAAUGCCACCUGGGGCUCUGGAGGGGAGAUAGGUGCCUUCAAGGUGGGAGGGCAGGGGUGGAGCAGACAGAGGUACUGGGGUCCACCCUGAGGAGGCACGACUAGUCCUCGACCCUAAGAGGGGUGCUUGGUGCCCAUGGGGGCCAGAGCACCAACCCCCUCUGUGCUGGAGAGACUUGGUCCAGCUUGGAGGCUGUAGAGGAGGAUGGACCAGGGUGGACCUGGCAGAGGAGUCCGGCCACCCAGGUGGGAACUGCUGAGAGACAAGGCAGCACGCGGAGGGCAGCUCCAGGAUGUCCAUAGCAGACCGUCCAGCUCCCACAGCAGAGGGUGGAGGUAGACAGAGAAGCUGACUCUGCAGAGGGACGGGGGUGCAAGACACAUGGUCAGGAGGCUCUGAGAGCUGGGGCAGCCUGGGACUUCCCAGCGGUCAGGCGACUGCUGGAAACCCAGCCUGUUCCUCACGGCGGAACGCGGUGACGCAGGCCGGUUCCCAGCUGGGGAACCCAAGCUCCAGGUCAGGACGUCUGCCAGCUCGGACAUCUCAGCUGCGUCUCAAGCUCACCUUUCCGGAGACCCUUGGUCCUCCUCUCCCUGCUUGUGCCUUGGCAGGAACUGGGAGCCAGGGACCAGCCCCCCCACCUGCCACCUCUGGGCUCCAGGAUCCCACCUGCAGGACAUUCCCCAACCCCCUGGCCCCACCUCUGCUGCUCUGCUCUCUGGAGUCCCAGCAGUCGGCUGCGACUCCAGCCACACGCUGCCCUCUCCCUGACCUCAGGGGCCUCUCGGGAGCUCCUGUCCCUGGCCCCUGGGCUCUCCUCUGCUCAGGCCCCACUGCCACGCCCGCUGCAGGGCCUGCACACUCCCCUUGGGUGAACACCCAUGCUCCCGCAACCCAGGUCGGGACACAGCCGUGACCCUAGGUGCCAGACACGACCUCCUCACACGGAGGCCCAGGCCUUCCUGCCCAGGGGGACCUGAGAAGAGGUUCCAGAGCCAAGCAGCUGCUCCACACCACCCCAGGCAGCUCUGGGCGCAGGUGGAGGCGCUGGAAGGGACCCCAGGUCAGGCUCCUCCUGCCUCCUUACUAGACGUGUGGACUCCUGAGCUGUGGACAGGACCUGGGCACAGGGGAGAGCCACAGAUCGCUGCAGCAAGGAAGACUUUUUGGGCUUCGGGGCCCCUGUACUCCGAGUUGGGCAAGCACAGCCAGAUGCCCUGUGCCCAGGGGGACGGUGUCCCUGUGGACAGAGGAAGAGAAAGCCGCAGGAGGAGGGCCAGGACAGCACAGAGGGGAGUGUCCCCGACCAGCUGCACAGCAGGGACCCACCGGAGGCGGACUGUGGCCUGGGACUCCCCGAACGCUGUCAGGGUACUGCCCACUGGGCAGUGAUUUGGAGGUAAGUAGGGAAGGUUUAUAAAUCGUGGCACAGUCCGGUCCAGGAAGAUUCAUGGGAGCCAAGGGGUGUGUGCAGGAAUGCCCACUACUGCCCAGGGCAGCACAGGACCCUGGAGACAGCCCAAGUUGUUCUCGGAAGAGGAACUGGUUCCUUUCGCUCCAGCUGUGCUGGGGUUGCAGCCCGGGGUUACCCUCCUACCUCAAAAGCUAGAAACAGAAAAUGUAUGAAUCAACUGUUUUCAGAAAUUGAGCAACGUGGGCACGUGGCCUUGGGAGGAGCGUCCAGAGUCAAGGGAGCUCUGGACUGCACCACCUUGGCCCAGAGCAGCCAGGGGGGAGUCGUGCGGGGUCCAGGUGCUCGGGACUGCUUAAGCAGCAUUCCAGAAAGGAGGGGACCCCAGAGACCAGAGGGUCCUCUAGUCCCAGAGUCUCCCAACUGCUAGGCCCCGCGGGAGAAGGAUGAGCCACAGAGCUGCCCGUCCCCAGGAACUCAGGGCAGCUCCAGCCCCAGCAGCCACUGAGGGAGGCCGUGGGGACCACUCAGGUGGUCAGUAGAGACCCCGCAGUGGCCAGUCCUUGGAGGGCAGCCAAACUGUCCCUAGAGCAAAGUCACUGGAGAUCUGCUCUAACAAACUUAUUUUUAAAAAAAAAAAAAAUCCACAAAAGAUCAAGGUGAGCCGCUAACUGAUGGCAUCUUUUAAAUGGAACUCCACCCUGGGGCCAGGUUAACAGAACAAGAAAACAGCGUUCGCCACAGAAGCCACCCACAGACUAGAACCCAGGGAAAUGUAACCAAAUGUCAGCAGAAAUAGGCCCCGAAAUGACAGCGAUGAUAGAACUGUCAGACAAGGACCCUGAAAGAACAAUUAAAACAGACUUUGAAGAAAAAGGGCAACAGGAUGAGAGAAAUAGGAGUUAUUAAAAAAGGACUCAGUGAAGCUUCCUGAAACCUGAAAUGAAAGUUAUGCUGAGCCGGGUGGGCACACCUGCCAUCCCAGUAACUCGGGAGGCCGAGGCAGGAGCAUGGCAAGUUCCGGGUCAGCCUGGGCAACUUGGCAAGACCCUGUCUCAAAAUGCAGAAUGGAAGGGGCUGGGAGUGUGGCUCCGUGGUGGAGCACCCUGGAUUCCAUCCUCAGUAACCAAAAAAAAAAAAAAAAAAAAAAGACAGGUAAACAUGCAUAAAUUAGUGUCUUCGAGCCGAGUGUGCACACGUGUUUUUGAUGGCUGCUGUAACAAAAGCCCCCAGGGGGGUGGCUUGGAGAGCUCUGUUUACCAUCUUGUGGUUCUGGAGGCAGGAGGUCCAGGAUGAGGCUCAUGAAGCAAGGCUGAGCAUCCUGCUGUUACUGCCUGCUGUCUGCGUACCACCCCCCCGCCCCCCCACCCCGCCCCCCAGCUUUGUCUGACCUUCCUCCUCUCCAGGACCAGUCCUCGUGGCCCCAGGGAGCAUGUGACCUGUGACCUUCAUCACCUCUCUCAAGCCCCCGCCUCUUAGGACAGCCUUCCCUCUCCCCUGUUCAGGCCUCCACCUGCCAACACCAGGUGGACAUCCAGGAGGACAUGGGCCAGUGUGGAGGAAUAGAACCGUCCAAAAUGAACUUCAAAUAGAAGGAAGAAGAAGCGGCACGUCCUCGAGGAGCCCCUGGACAAGGUGGGGCGUGGAACACCAGUGGACCUGGAGUCCUCCGCCGCCCCCCCAGGAAGGGAGGGAGACCACCUGAAACAACAGCAGCAGUGAUUUUUCUAAAACCAAAGAAACCCACCACCCACCAGCCAAGGACAAAUACAGGAAUGCACAGCCAGACAGGCGACAGGCAAGCGCUGAGCACAGCACUCAGGCCACUUGCACACCCAGAGCCGAGAUGAGAUGAGGCUGCAGGGACUUCCCCACACGGCCUUGGAAUUCUGCACACGGUGCACCCGCUGGUCAAGGAUGGAGUUAGAGGAAGACACAUGACUUGGACUUCACGACUUAAGCGCAGAAGCUGCCGCGUCACCUGCAGACUUUCAUUGCAAGUAAAUAGACUUUCCUCAAACACAAGUGAGUUGCCACAAAAACACUGCUAAGCUGGGCUUCUGGGCUUCAAAGUAUGAUGUUAAAGAAAUGAAAGGCAAACCACACGCUGCGGGGGAAUGCAGUUCAUAAAUCUUGUAUCCAAAAAAAUAUACAUUUAACAAACUCUUACAGCUCAAUGAGAAGAGAUGUCAGUCAGCUUUCAGUACUGUAAGACGAUACCUGAGAUAACCAUCUUAAAAAGAGGAAAGUUUUCUUCUGGCUGGAAGCUUCGGUUCAUGGCCGAUUGACCCUGUUGCUUUGGGUCUGUGGUGAGAGUCCCUCAUGGGAUGACCACGUGGCAGGGGAAGCUUCUCAGCUCAUGGCAGCUGGGAAGCAAAGAGAGAGCGGAAAGGCUGGGGUCUCCAUACCCUUCCACAGCACAUGUCCAUGACCCAACCCUCUCCUAGAGGGUCCCAGCUCGUAAGGUCCACCACCUCCCUUUGGCACCACCCUGAGGACCAAGCCUUGAGCAUGUGGCCUUUGGGGGCCAUUCCAGAUCCAAACAGACCAUUUUUUUAAAUAGGCAAAAGGUUGAAGAAGACACAGAGAGAGCUCAGGACACUGGCUCCACAUGGUGGGUGAGGAGGGAAAUACGAAUCAAAGCCACCGCGACACACCCACGUAUGUGUCACAAGGGUGUGGCGCGGGGGAGCCUUCAGGUGCUGCUGGUGGAAUGUAAAGAGGUGCAGCGGCUUUUAGCAAUGUUCUGGCAAAUUCUCACAGACCCGCCUUUGUCUGAGCCAGCGAUUCCACUCCUCAUAUGCAAACAAGCAAAGGUGAAUGACUUGUGGGAGGAGUUUGCAGCAUCCUGAUUCCUAACUACCGAGAACUGGAAACUUCCCCAGAGCCAGCCGCAGAGAACAGGUUAACCACUGACCCUUUGCUCAGCAGUAAGGGAAGAGCGAGCUGUGGGCAUGCUCGGUACCCCGCAAGAAUCUGGAUGCGGAGCCGAGUGAGGACACCACACGCCAGGCAGCCGGGCUGUGCUUAUGUGAGACCAGAGAGCACAGCCAACAGAGCACGGUCCAUGCCCGGGCUGGGCACUGGCUGGGAGGGCUGAGCGGACAGCACGGACAGACGGGACAGCUGCACCAGACCUUAUGCCCACAGCCCUGGCAGCUGCAGGUGUGCAGGGCCAGUUCUCCGGAGGCCCCUCCUUGCCCGCCCAGGACACAUUUCACAGACCCCGGUGCUCCCAUGUGUCCUCGCUUCAUUUAAGGGCGCCCACGGCCCCAACAGCCUCUCUCCACCUCAGCCCUCCUCACAGGCCCCACCUCCAGGCACCUGGGGUGAAGGACACUUCAGUCCACGCUGUCUCCGGUCAGACGUAAGUUCCCUGAGGACAGGGCUUGGACACGGGGGUCCCUCCAGCAGAGUGCCUCCAGACACCCAAGCGCACCUUCUCCUGCUGACAUGGGUGCAGCUUUGGUGAGGUGGUUGGCUAAGGGGCUCGCACACUCAUGCACACGGGAAUCCACCGUCAAACACACAUGCAACCCACGCAGGAGAUGGCAGGUUCCGUUUGAUGUCUGUGAGAAGCAGCCUGUGCGUGAACAUGUGCCUCUGAGUCCUCAGAGUGCUGGUGAGCUUCCAGGCAGGUCAAGGGAAGUCCGCCGGCUGUCUACUUUCAAUUCCACAUCUUUUGAAUAUGGUGCCUUCUCAAGAAAUAGGCCAGCAAACAUGGCCCUGAAGGCCUGGCCACCAGGCAGCCCCAGGGGACACACAACUUCCCGGUCAGGGGCUCAGGUUGGCUGCACAGCCCAUUCCCACCCCUCAGCCACAGACUAGGUGUUCAGUCCAGCCCUGUGCCCAGCGGCCACCUCCCGGGCUUGUGCCCACCGGUUCAGCAACACAGUAUCUGCCCACAUGUGGCACAUGUGGCACGUCCCCACAGGAGUGACACCACAUGUAACUGUGCUGUACAACCCCACUCCCAGGGGGCCCUGGACAGGAGGCCCACAGACACACAGGGCAGACAGAGGUCAGGGAGGCUGGUGGGGCUGUAGCCGGGCUGAGGAGGAAGUUCUGGAGAUGGACGGUGCGGUGGCCACACUCUCCAGUGGCUUCAGAAUGUCCAGAUAGGAGGUGCCAGACAGCUGGUCAUCUCCUCUGUGGGCUGAGUGGACGGAGUCUGGCAGGGGGUGCCUUGGCGAUACUCUGGCCCCUCCCUUCUUGUUCCAGUGAGUUGACCUGCUGGCCACUCACCUGGGCCUGCCAACUCUGCCCAGCCUACCCCAUGAGCAUGUCCAGUGCUUCCAGAACAAGGACCAGACCCCCACACUGGGUGUGUCUGAGCAUAGGGGUGCUAUGAGACUUCAGAAGAGUCGUCUGAGUCCUGGGCAGUGGGGACAUCCCGCAGCGAGGCUGUUCCGCUCAUCCCCAGGCCUGAAUCCUGGGUUCCCAGCAAGGUCCUCAAGCACCAGUGCUCAGAAUGCCCCUGAACAAGAUACGUGGUCAAACUGGGCAUGGUGACCACACCGAUGACCCCAGUGACUCAAGAGGCUCGAAAGUUUGAGGCUAGCCUCAGCAACUUAGCAAGACUCUGUCUCAAAAUAAAAAGGGCUGAGGCUGUAGGUUGCAUAAGCAAGGCUGGGUUCAAUCCUCAGUACCGUUAAAAAAAAAAAUCUGUCAUCAGGAACCCCAGUACUGCUUGCUGGGGCAGAUGAGCUUCCUGGGGCCACUGGCCUUCUGUAUGACCAACCGCCCUAUUGACCAGGAAAGCAGAGAGCUCAAGAAGCCACAGCUGAACCUGGCAAUCCCUCCCUGGCCCUGACCAGAGGCCCCAGGUGGAGCUGGGUUGGGGAGGAGCUGCUCUGUGAAAUGUCUGCCCCCACCCCCACCUCAAGGGGAAACGGAAGGCCCCCAACCAGCUGGGCCUCACCUUAAGUCCAGGGCUCCCCGGGCUCCAGGAAUCGUGCUCUAUCAAGCCCACAUGUAUGGGGCACCUCCUAUAUGCUGGAUAAGGAGCACAGGAUGCCUGCCAGGCCGCCCUGCCCUCGGAGGAGACAUGCUCCUGGGUGAAGGUGAUGCACCCUUAACUAAGAAGGUACAGCUCCGACCCUGCGGGCUGGAGCCCACCUGGCAUGAAGGCACAGGGACGUCAACAGACAGCCACAGACAGCUCGGGUGGUCACCCACUGCUGCCCCUGCCUAGCCUCAAGCCUCAGCCAGGGCACAACCUGCACGGGGAGCUCCAUUGGACCUGGGGUUUUCCCAGACAGAUGACUUCCCCGUCUGGGUCUCUGCCUCCCAGACCAACUUCCCAGAAUCUGCGGAAAUACCCGCCCAGACCUGGGUUUCCUGCUAUCCCCUCCGCCACCCUCAGCCAGGUGCCAGAGUGUGACCCCUGGUGGCUGCUGAGAACUGUGCAGCUGGGAUGGACCCAGACCCCUAGGACAGUCCACCUACAGCUUCUAUGUGAGACUCCAGACCUCCAGUCCUGCCUGCUGUGGAGGCUGCAGGACCAGGCCAGGAGCCACCAGGGGGCAGCAAAACCCAGCCCUGGCUCCCCAGCUGUCAGUCUGGGAGUUCCUUGGGUGGGGCUUCCAGUGUUGGGGAUGGGAUGGGCCCCACUCUCUGGGUAUCUUUAAGGACAUCCGACUCCCCCCAAUGCACCCAGGGGGAAGUGCAAGGGCUACCCUGGGUCCUGAUAGUCAACAGUGACACUAGGCAAGGCCAGGAAGUUGAAGAAGGCAGUGCUUACACAGGGAAUAAGGAAGAGACGGUGUCGGGCUUGUGUGGGGUAAAGUAAGUCUCCUCCAACACACCUGGGAGAGAUAGAAUGGUCCCCAGCUCAGAGCCUCCCUGAGGGUCUUCCUGGUCAUUAGGAUCCAGGGAUGGUGCGGGGCCUUCACUACAGGACCCAGGAAGAGGCCAGCAGGGGAGGGGUCCAGCCCAGGAAGUCCUUGGCACAGGGCCACUAGGGUAUGGACAGGGUUCCCCACCUCAGAGGUUGCAGGCAGCUUCAGUGAGGGCCAGAGAUUCAGGCAGAGGCUGCAGAUCAGCAUCUUUAUUCAAACUCCGUGGUGCUACAACUCUGAGACACACACCAUGCCCACAGCCCUCAAUACCCAGCAGACAGCCUCUGCAGGCCCCCGGCAUAGCAUCUCCCACCCAGCCCCGCUUUAACAUAAAGCACAGAACCUUUGACCAGCCCGGAAGGAGCAGGAUCCAGCCCCUGGCCUGGCUGAGAAGGCUGUGCCCAGGUCCUCCCCACACACCUGUCCCUCCCGGAGGGCCUGGCCCAGCUCCCCUGCAGGCACAAGAGACAGUAUGCAGCCUUCCGAGCACACAAAACCCGGCCCCAGGACCCCUUCCUUCAGCAUGAAGUCUAUCGCCCUUUUGAGAACUGCUGUGCACCUGUACACAGGAUGCACUGCUCGAGCCCUGCCCUGAAGCUGGGCACGGAACAGGUGGGGAGCAAAAUCCCUGCUGUGAGAGAAGCCAUGUCCCAGGCCCUCUCCUCUGGUUCCAGGACCCUGGCGCUGUGGUUCACCAGCCGGCCGCUGGGUUCCCUGCGGCAGAGGCUGCUCCGGCGCGCUAUCAGGGCGUGCCAGGUCUCUUGGGCAAGCCGCUCCUCGGUUUCCUGUGCACUCCGUGCAAGGAGAGGGUUAGAAGGCCUCGCCGCUGCGGCGGUCAGCUACAGAGGGAAGGGGGCCGAGCAGCGGACUAGAGGAGCAGGAGGCCCGCAGGCGCGCACCCUGCCCAGUCAGGGCAAAGCCCUGACCACCACCCUCGGCCAGUCUGGGCGCGAAGGUCACCUGGGACGCUGCUCCUCGGCCAGAUCAAGCUGUGAUGGUGCCCGGAGGGGCAGCAGGCGGGCAAGGAGUGCCCGCGGACCCCGAGCUGCCGCGGCACUGGACCACACGGGAGGUCGCUGUCGGGUUCUGAGGGCUGUGCUAGCGGGCCGUGGCCAGAGGUAAGGCGCCUUUAUAGACCCGGAGGCCGCGAGGAGGCUGGGGGCGUGCCUGGACGCUUUCUCACGCCCAACAGCCAAUCGGUGGCCAGGGAAAGACAACGCCCCCUUCCCCCCGCUGAGCUGGAAUCAUUAGUGCGCCCCGCCCCCAUCAGGUGCGGGGAAUGGGUGAGCCGGCCGGGGACACGUGGGUCACAGUCUGCGAGGCUCCCUGCCAGGAGUCCAGCCCGCCAGCACCCGGCAGGGGGUCCCCGUGGCCCAGCCAGGCGCCAGAACAGGGGAAGUGGUAAUCCCCUGGGCCUGCUUCCAGAGCAGCUCCUGGCCCGCCCUUAGCGUCCCGCCGGCCGCUAUCUGGCCAUCUGACCUCUCCUUUGGGGUCUCUUCACCUCUGACUGGUCUUCCCAGCCGCCCCACAGAGGCGAUCAGGCUACAGAGUGACAGGACAGUCCCAGAAAUGUCUGGGAUGGGACGUUUACACCAGACCCUUCAAGGAGAGGCUAGAACUGUGGCUCCCAGAGAUUCCCACCCACCUCCUACACCUCUGAUAGUGCAGGCCCCAGCAGCCAACUCCUCCAGGGAGCCCCCUCUGCCUUCCUCCUCCAGGCUGGUGGUGGUGGUGGUUGUGGUGGUGGUGGUGGUUGUUUUGUGCUGGAGUUUGAACCCAGGACCUUGCACAUGCUAGGCAACGGGCCCUACCACUGAGCUUCACCCACAGCUCUUUUGAUUUCCAGACAGACUCUCACUAAAAUGCUAAAGUGAACCGGAAUUUGUGAUCCUCCUGCCUCAGCCUCCGGAGUAGCUAGGAUUGCAGGUGCACAACACCCCCAGCUUUGGUCCUCAUAUUCUAAGGUUGUCAUUGUAGAUGCUCCAAAUUCCUGGGAGCAGGGACCCCAGAGCCCUCCACUCCAGCCCCUCCCAUGACCUGGUGAUUUAAACAGCUGGCCUCAGAGAGCCUCUUCCACUGGCCCCAAAAGGGGCAGUGCUGUCCCACAUCUCAAGUGAGGAAGCUGAGAUGAGGGAGGAGGUCUUCCCCAGGUCUCAGCCUCAUCAUGUUCCUCUCUGUCCCUCACACUGAGGGGCAGGGUGGGGGGCUGGGUGGGUAGGAGUGGAAGUGAGUGGCAGACGUGACAGGCGAGGCUUGGGAGCGAGGAAGUGCGCCAGCAGUGAGACACGCAGGCCAGGAGGCGCCGCCGCACUGUCCACUGAGUCUGGCUUGGGGGUGGCCAGGUAGCCUGUGGCUGCUGCUCUGCUGGCCCCGCCCACCUGGAGACCCUGAAUGGCCAGGCGCCUUUUGUGGGAGAGCAGCUGGCGCCGGCCCUUUAUGUGGGGCUGUGGGAAAGUCCCCGAGCCAGCCUCUCACAGCCUCUCAAAGCUGGGAUUAUCUCUGGGCCUGCAGGACACCCUCUCAAGGACCGCCGCCCAGCAAGGAUGGGGGCAGAGGCACCCCACAGAGGCCCUGUCCGCCAGGCUCUGGCCCCAGAAGUCCCUUGGCCACCCUGCUCCCUGCUCCACCACCCCACUUGCCAGACUCAGAAAGGCCCACCAGGGCAGGCAGGACUGCACAGAAGCCUGGGCUGCCUGACUCUCCAGGCCGGGCCCUGUGGUGGGGGGCAUUCAGCAGAAAGGCUUAUGGGGGCUCUCUUCCACCCCACCCCCAAUGCCAUAUGUCCACAGCCAGGAAGACCCCAGGCAGGUCCUGGGCUGUGGUCAGACACAAGGUGCUCAGGGCUAGAGGCCUGGCAGGGAACUGCAAACUUAUUUAGCACCUACUGCAUACAAGCUGAACAGGAUGUACAUCUCUCAGCCCAGAGUCUUGAGUGGGGCAGGACCACACUGCACUGCCUCCCUGAAAUCACUCUGGCCUUGCCCUGACCCCUUGGUCAGACUCCAGGCAGUCCCUAACGUGGACCUGCCAGGAAAUGGAAGGCAGAGGGAGGCAGAGGCAGAGCGUUGGCAGCGCCUGGCUGGGGCUCCAGAGCCCUGGCCACUGGGCGCCCAGUCUACCCUGAAUCCUCUGUGUACCCUUGGUACAGCCCCAUUUCACAGCUGCAGACACUGAGCCCCAGAGAGCCACGGCCCUGUGCCCGCAGCCCUCCCCACCAGGCCCUGCUGUGGCAGGGAUGGGGCGGAAGGCAGGUGUCCCUUUAGCACUCCUCUCACACCUAGCCAUGCCAGGGCCAGCGAGAGGGGACAGCGGGGCUGUGGGAACAGGAAGGCACUGGAGGGCCAGAUGUGCAGCCCCCAGUGCGGUUGCCCGGGAGCUGCUUCCCGGGGCCUGAAAGGCCGCCUAGGGGAGCCCCCACCCCGCCCACUGGGACGACUGCUCCCCAGAUGGCCUCUGGGGCCCCGAGCUCGGCACACAAAGCCCAGGCAGCCCCAUGGCGAAGGAGUUUGUUGCCGCACACGCGCCUUUUGUGCAAGAUGAAUGUCCUUGGCAGGGGGCGGGGUGGGAACCCACCCUGAGCAGGCCUCCCGCCCAAAUUCCCCUCUGGAAGGGGGGCGGGCCUGCGGCGGCUGCCUGGAAAGCUUGAGGAGCCAGCACUGGGCGCGCUGCCCUGGCAGCCUGCAGCUCUGCCCGGCACUCUGGGCCCUACGUGUGGCUUCAGACUGACCAGGCUCCAUGGCCAUGGACAUCUCGGAGGCCCCCUCCUCUCCCUCACACAGAGAAACAGGACCCAAGGCCGGCUGAGGGCUGCCACUCUCCUCUAGGUGGGGUGGGCUGCCCAGGGUGUGGGGAGUGCUGGACACUGCCCAGGGUUCCUAGGGGAGCAGGACCUUCUGGAUCUGCGGGGAGACCUUCAGGGCCUCUUCCCCUGCUUGAGGCCAGACCCAUCUCAAUGCUGGGGGAUAAGGCAAAGGUAAAGGUGGGGCCACUGACAGACCUCAGGAGUAACCAGAGUGAGCUGGACUCAGAGCCCCUCCGCUGCCCAGUAGCUCACCCAUUCCCUCCACAACGCCAUGCCAGCCCCAGACCGGAGUACAUGGUACCUGGCACACAGUAGCUACUUAAUAACAUGAGCGAUUACUGCCCUGCUAGGUGGGCAGCUUGACCGGCCUCCUCUGAAGCUUGGCCUUUGUGUUCCCAGAGCUGACUGGCCUCUAACUCCCUCCACUCGUUCCAUCAGACUCAGGUCCCAGAAGACCCCUGCCUGUGGUUGCAGGGAGCACCAGUUCUGGAGGGGUCAUGAGUGUGGGUCCUCCCUUUGGCCACCACCAAGACUCACCGAGGUGACCUUCAACAUGGGUUGGAAACCCCCUUCCCCAAUAGCUGGCUGUGACUGGACAGUGGUAAUGGGGUCGCCAGAUGUGGGAGCCUCUGUGGGUGCCAUGUCCCAAGAGAGUGUUGAUGAGGGGCGGCCCCUUAUGCUGGAGCUGAGCAGGGUCCUGGUCCUAGGGGGCCAGGGGAGGGGCUGGGAGAUCAGGGAUAAGUGCUCCUGCAGGCGACUGGUGGGCCACAGGAGGGCCUUGGUUCUCUCAGGCUCGAGUUCUCUGGGCCUCUCUUUGCCUGCCUGUGCAGUGGACAAGAUGAUGCUUGGCCUCCAGAGGUGGCCACUCCACAUGGAUGAUAGAUUAUACCCAUCUGUAAUCUCCUGGGUCCCCCCCCAACACCUAGAUGGCAGAGGCUCAUAGGCAAGAGGGUCCUCCCACCCACGCUGGGCAGCUGGCUGGUAGAGCUCGGAUUCUGGCAGAUGGGGACCGGCUGGGUGGGGGCGGUCCACCAGGCCCGUUGCACUGGGAGCUCCAACACUCUGCAGGCCAGUGGGAUAAAAAAAAAAAGGGGGGGNGGAGAUAGAAGCCCAGUGGAGGUGGAUUUGGGCAGAGAACGUGGAUUUGGGAAGAGAACGUGGAUUUCCCCAGAACGUGAUUGUAGACGGCUGGUGUGAGUUCGGGAAUAAAGAGUUGCUGUUUGAAUCUACAAGCUGUGUG